This 1846-nucleotide long non-coding RNA is filed under the name Ricinus communis (castor bean). RNAcentral's name for it is "long non-coding RNA (RCOM_LNC000292)". The record is from RNAcentral. Lineage: Eukaryota; Viridiplantae; Streptophyta; Magnoliopsida; Malpighiales; Euphorbiaceae.
UAAUGUAUUUUAAGCAUCGCAGGAAACCUCUGACUUAUUUCUUCAUCUUCGGCGCUCGCAUCUCUUAAAUAGCUGAUGAGCAUAGUUUUACACAUAUUUGCUUGCAUAUUAUUGCGUAUGUUCUUAGCAAUUAUUGUGCUUUUAUUCCCAGAUCACCCGUGUUUUGUGUUUUUUUGCAUUUCAAGAACAUUUAUAGGACCAUCAUCGGUGUUUAAGCAAUUAUAGAUCAAUACGUGCGGAAACAGACGAGAAUUCAUCAAGAUCGGACAAGAGCCCGCGUUGCACACAUUGAGCACGGCCUGAGUCAAGGCCGUGCUGACCAUCACGGCCUAGACUCUGGCCGUGACCAACCAUCAAAACUUGGUCUUCAAAACAAUAGUUUGGGCACGAUUUCCGUAGCCACCACGGCCUUCAGCACGGCCCGUGGUGGAUAACACGGGGAGCAACACGGCCCGUGGUAGCCAACACGGGGAGAAACACGGCCGUGGUGAAACCCUAGUUGGUGAGAUCCAUAGUUUCAGCACGGCAUGGACUCCGGCCGUGCUGACCAGCACGGCCUUGACCACGGCCGUGCUGAGUUAAAUAUAUAAGAAAAAAUGAAUUUUUCUGAGAAAAAGAGGGGAGAGGGAAAAAGAGUGACAUUGAGCCCUAGUGGCUAGUUCGGUUUCUGCACAAUACUGAGUGCGAGAGAAAGUUGUAGUGAGUAAGAAUCCCGGAAUCGUAAGAUUCCGAGUGCAAAACAGUAGUGGAGCAAUUCAAGAGGCAGUUUGGGAGAUUAAUCAAAGUGUAGAUCCAGAUUUGGAGCUGUUCAUCCAAUUCGAGAUAAAAGGGUGUACAUGUUUUAUUUUCAUUAUUCUUUCAUUGUAAUUGAUUUCCUAGAUUGUUUUAAACAUGAACAUGUUUAGCUAGACUGAUUUAAUCCAUUGGGAUUUCUUUACUAUGUUGGCUUGAUAUUAUAUUGUUGGAUUGUUUGAGUUGGUUUUGUAUUCUUCUUGUUUUCAGUAUUAAUAAAAUAAUGCAUUAUUCAUGAGACGUUGUGAAUUGUGAUGUUUAGAUUGCUUUAUGAGAUUGAGAAAUCCGUUUGGCAAUUGGAACUUUGAAUAACAAGAACUGGUUAAUAAUCGCUUAGAGAUAAGGAUAAUUAACUAGCCGGAUUAAGAAUUAACAAAGCUUAAUAGAGGCGGAUUAAAGCUUAACGCUAAUUUAAGAAUCAAUCGUUAGGAAGAGAUUCCAACUUUAGGUUAUUAGGUUUAAGAAUUCGGUUAUCUCGAGAGAGAAACCGAAUUCGGUUAAGAAUUCGUCCACGGGUAGCAUAAUUAGACUCACCGAUCCUUUAUCUUUUGUUUGAUUGCCAACUAGUUUAGAUUCCCUUUGGGUUUGUCUUCUUGUCUUGAUUAUUUCACUUAUCAAUUACUCCUGCAUCUCCCUUAGGACUUAGCUUGUAGUUAAUAGUUAGUUUAGAAUUUAUUCAUCAUCCAUUUUAGGUUAAUAUAACAAAGAACAAAGGAGUAACUCUGGGCUUUCGCUUUCCCGAGGAAUACGACCUUGAUACUCGCCAUUAGUGCUAGACUGCAUCGAUAGGUACACUGCCUUAGAUUGUAGCUAACACGAGUAGCACCCAUCAAGCAUCGCAGGAAACCUCUGACUUAUUUCUUCAUCUUUGGCGCUCGCAUCUCUUAAAUAGCCUUGACCUUGUUUAGGUUGAUCUCUACGCCUUGGUGACUCACUAUGUACCCUAACAGCUUCCUUGAUGUAACUCUGAAUAUUGCUCUUCUUCAGGUUGAGUCUCAGAUUAUACCUUUCCACUCAUUCUAAAAACUUAUCAAGAGCUUGAAAGUGUCUUUCC